Molecule: ribosomal RNA, 485 nt
Filed under: uncultured beta proteobacterium
Lineage: Bacteria; Pseudomonadati; Pseudomonadota; Betaproteobacteria
Description: bacterial SSU rRNA
Rfam family: Bacterial small subunit ribosomal RNA
Source: RNAcentral
ACACAUGCAAGUCGAACGGCAGCACGGAGGGGUAACUCUCUGGUGGCGAGUGGCGAACGGGUGAGUAAUAUAUCGGAACGUACCUUAUAGUGGGGGAUAACUCAGCGAGAGCUGGGCUAAUACCGCAUACGACCUGAGGGAGAAAGUGGGGGAUUCGCAAGGACCUCAUGCUAUAAGAGCGGCCGAUAUCUGAUUAGCUAGUUGGUGAGGUAAAGGCUCACCAAGGCUGUGAUCAGUAGCUGGUCUGAGAGGACGACCAGCCACACUGGAACUGAGACACGGUCCAGACUCCUACGGGAGGCAGCAGUGGGGAAUUUUGGACAAUGGGGGCAACCCUGAUCCAGCAAUGCCGCGUGAGUGAAGAAGGCCUNCGGGUUGUAAAGCUCUUUUGUCCGGGAAGAAACGGUUUCUCCUAAUACGGGGAGCUAAUGACGGUACCGGAAGAAUAAGCACCGGCUAACUACNUGCCAGCAGCCGCGGUAAUA